AGAGUUGAUCAUGGCUCAGGAUGAACGCUGGCGGCGUGCUUAACACAUGCAAGUCGAACGAAGCCAAAAGGAAGCUUGCUUCCUGAAGCUUAGUGGCGGACGGGUGAGUAACGCGUGAGGAACCUGCCCUUCAGUGGGGAAUAACAGCCGGAAACGACUGCUAAUACCGCAUAACGUCACCGGAUCGCAUGAUCUGGUGACCAAAGGAUUUAUUCGCUGAAGGAUGGCCUCGCGUCCGAUUAGGCAGUUGGUGAGGUAACGGCCCACCAAACCUACGAUCGGUAGCCGAACUGAGAGGUUGAUCGGCCACAUUGGGACUGAGACACGGCCCAGACUCCUACGGGAGGCAGCAGUGGGGAAUAUUGGGCAAUGGGCGAAAGCCUCGACCCAGCAACGCCGCGUGAAGGAAGACGGUCUUCGGAUUGUAAACUUCUUUGAUUGGGGAAGAACACAAUGACCUACCCAAAGAACAAGUCACGGCUAACUACGUGCCAGCCGCUGC
Molecule: ribosomal RNA, 502 nt
Filed under: uncultured bacterium
Lineage: Bacteria
Description: bacterial SSU rRNA
Rfam family: Bacterial small subunit ribosomal RNA
Source: RNAcentral